This 77-nucleotide transfer RNA is filed under the name Candidatus Altimarinota bacterium. Its description in RNAcentral is "tRNA-Val". It matches the Rfam family "tRNA". Rfam says of the family: Transfer RNA (tRNA) molecules are approximately 80 nucleotides in length. Their secondary structure includes four short double-helical elements and three loops (D, anti-codon, and T loops). Lineage: Bacteria; Candidatus Altimarinota. The record is from RNAcentral.
GGAGAUGUAGCUCAGUUGGUUAGAGCGCAACAUUGACAUUGUUGAGGUCGGAGGUUCGAGCCCUCUCAUCUCCACCA